This 76-nucleotide transfer RNA is filed under the name bacterium. Its description in RNAcentral is "tRNA-Asn". It matches the Rfam family "tRNA". From Rfam's summary of the family: Transfer RNA (tRNA) molecules are approximately 80 nucleotides in length. Their secondary structure includes four short double-helical elements and three loops (D, anti-codon, and T loops). The record is from RNAcentral.
UGCCCCUUAGCUCAGUUGGCAGAGCAAGUGACUGUUAAUCACUGGGUCCGCGGUUCGAGCCCGCGAGGGGCAGCCA